CCCGGCGAUGCAUACCCGUUGCGGAAUCGGCUGACGUGGCAUAUGCCACAUCAGCAGAUAUAUUAAAAAAAAAAAAAAAGAAGAAGAACGGAAUUCAUUUUCAUGAUUGGAAGAUUUGAAACCCAUUUCUUUUUUCAGAAAUCCAGAACCUCCGAUAUACUCCACGAGCACCAAAACCCAUUUUGAGACCACACUAACAUUGUCGUCGCCGUCGCCAUCGAUUCCGGAAAGGCACUACAUUGUUCAGAAAUCGUUAAGUAUAUAGUUCGGGAUGGUGCUGUUCGUGUGGGCAAGAACAAUGUAAUGGGUCUGUUGCAAGUUUGUUUGUUUGCAAGAACAAUGUAGGUACCGAUUUUCUGUUUUCCCACCGAAGAUCCCUCUUGAAAUUGGUUGUAUCUAGUUCCCUGGGUUUGCUUGUUCAAGUGGAGUAUUAAACUAUUUACCAACAAAAAAAAUUCCAGUUUGGUUGGGGCAUUCUGGGUGUAUCAAAAGCUGUGUAAAGAGACAGUAAGAGAGAGGCAAAGAGAUGGGUUAGGCUGAAUA
Carya illinoinensis is the source of this 543-nucleotide long non-coding RNA. RefSeq lists it as uncharacterized. Lineage: Eukaryota; Viridiplantae; Streptophyta; Magnoliopsida; Fagales; Juglandaceae. The record is from RefSeq and is a predicted model, not a curated record. The transcript is spliced from 2 exons.